Molecule: long non-coding RNA, 2789 nt
Filed under: Ailuropoda melanoleuca (giant panda)
Lineage: Eukaryota; Metazoa; Chordata; Mammalia; Carnivora; Ursidae
Description: lncRNA (ENSAMEG00000024483.1)
Source: RNAcentral
AUGCCCACAGCUCAAAAUAAUUUUUCAGCCACAGUGGCAUAUUCUGGACCCUUCAUCGCUAGAAACAAGCUCACUAGGAAGCAACUGCGGCCGUAUUCUACAGCCCCGCCUGCGUCUAGAGCGUCACGAAGUCGCAAGUCCCACCCCGGCCUCUUGCGCGCUCGCGUGGUUUCCGGGUCGACUGCAGCACCAACUCUUCUCAUCGGACUACUGAGUGGACUUCUGAUCGUCCCAAGCUCAUGGAUGCUGUGUCUUCUCAUUUCAGUCAUGCAGAGUAUGGUGUGUUUGGCCAAGCCUAGAUGGGUGAGUAAAUCUGUGGGCUUCAGGUCAGAACUCACUCAAUAGGGUGAUCCAAUCAAUAGGAUCUUGACCAAAACUGAGCAAAGGUCUUCUUCUGAGAGGAAAGGCACUCCAGCACCCGCUCUUACCAAAUAGUCAUACGACAGAGAAGUACAUGAGAAAAUAUACCCAAAAUACCUUAGAAUUUGUUUUUUGACAACACAUUGUAGAGGGCGAGCUGUUGACUUUUGUCCAUCUUUAUUCUGGUGCUGUUAUAGGUCCGCUCUUUAUUUAGAGACCGUCCUUGGCACUUCGUUAACAUGUGUUCCACAUCGCGAAAUAACUAAAACAAUGGGGAAAUCAUUCUUUUUUGCAACAGUAACUUGCUUUUCCAAAAAAAUAAUGAAUCUGAGCAUCUCUCUCCUAAAGAAAUGGUUAAAAUGCAAGUUGGCCAUCAAUCAGCAAAUAGAGGGAACAGUUUCCGGGGCUAUAUGGCUGGUAAGAACUCUCAUCUUCAAAACUAAGUAUUUAUUUAUUUAUCUUAAUGAAGGAGAGAGAGUGUACAUGAGUAGGAGGAAGGGCAGAGGGUGAGAAUCUCAAGCAGACGCCCACUGAGUGCAAUGCCCCAUGCAGGUCUCAAGACCCGUGAGAUCAGGACGUGAGCUGAAGUCAUGAGUCAGACGUUUAACUGACUGAGCCACUCAGGCUCCCCAGGCAUAUUACUUUUGUGUAUUUAUCAUCAUCAUACUUACUUCAUAAAAUUGUGUGAAGACCAAAUAAGAUACUAUACAUAAAUGGGUAAUCAUAUAAUUUAUCUUCCAAAUUGAGUUACUUUCCUGUUUCAGGAAGUCUUUCCUGUUUCAGUCAGUCAGUCAGUCAGCAAACAUUCAUCAGUCUACCAUAGGCCAAGUGCUGUGAUAGUGCUGAAGUAUACUGAUGAACAAGGCAGAAAAGACCAAAGAGGGGACUCAGAGAGAGAAACAGGGCAGAGAUUCGUGUUUUUAAUUAACUGAAAAUUAUCUGAGGCAGAGUAGUCAAGAAUGACCUCUCUGAUGCAGUCUUUGAAGUCAUUAAGGACAAGAAAUACCAUGGAGGGGGCAAAAAUGAGCCUUUUAAGUCCUUAAAAAUCACCCGCGGCUGGUGGCCAUAUGCUGACAGUGCACAUCGAAGUAUGAGCCGCCAAGGGUGUGUCCAUUCAGUCUGGUUCACUGUCAGCUCCGAUAACAGAAACAUUCAGUGGCAUACAGUGAGCAUUUGAUGUAUUUUGAAUGAGCCCAUGAAUGCGUGGUUUGCGGGGCCCUAUCGGAGGCAGUCAUUUUGGGGGUGGAAGUCAAAGCUUCCAUUUUGGACUCAUCAGUCUGAGGUAUCUGUGAAGCAUCUAAGUAAAGAAGUCGAGAAAGGAAGUAGAUAUGAGAGUCUGGGACGGAGAAGAUCUGGGUGGAGAUGUAAAUUUGGCACCUUGAUGGGUCUUCAAUCCAAAGGAAUCAUGGUGGAUUACCUUGGGAAAAAGCACACAGAAAAGAAAGGGCCCAACACCUUACCCUCAGAUAUACCAACAUUUCAAUGUUAAGUGACAGAAGAGGAAAAUCAGGGAAGUGUGGUGGUGCCGAGAAAUCAAAGGAGUAAAUGCUUCAAGGAGAAAGGAGUGGUCAGCUACUGAGAGGGCAAGUAUUAACAACAACAAAAAAAGGUAGGUGCAUCGAGAUCUUAACAAUGAUCCUGCCACACAUUCCACAAUCAUGACCUCUGUUAAGUCCUCCUUAUAAUGCUUUGAGUCAAAGAGAGAUUUUUUUUUUUUUAGUACAAAGAAAUUUGGCCUCCAAAAGCCCAACUGGUUCAGGGAAGAACCAGAUCUAGGCCCUAACACUCUUUUUCUUUUUCUUUUAAGAUUUUAUUUAUUCAUUUGUCAGAGAGAGAGAGAACACAAGCAGAGCGGAGGAGCGGCAGGCAGAGAGAGAGGGAGAAAGGGCUCCCCGAUGAGCAGGGAACCUGAUGUGGGACUUGAUCCCAGGACUCUGGAAUCAUGACCUGAGCCAAGGUCAAAGGCAAAUGAUUAACCAACUGAGCCACCCAGGCGUCCCAAGGCCCUAAGCCUCUUGGUCCAGCAUUAUUUACAGAACAUAUUUUAAAGCACCGGGAACGAUAAGAAACCAUGGAGGUUUAUAGACAAAGUGUGGCUAUCUGUGACUUCACCAAGUUUAGGUGUUUUGAGAAUACAUGUACAUUUGGCAGUAUCUUUCAGGUAUGGAACUAGACCAAGAUUACAUGAUCGGGAUUUCUUGCAAGUCUCCGAAGUGCCUUCUGCCCUUCAUUUAUAAUACCUAAAAUUCUUACCACACUGUUCCUCAUAGGACUCGGUUUCUCAACUCAUCUUAGGCAAUGCAGGAAUACUGCUUCCGCAGUGCAUUAAUGUCAAUUAAUAACUUCAUUCAGGAGAAAGAUAGUUUGCAAACACUUUCCAAGUGUGGUGUUCAUAGGUAAAUUAAGCUUUCUUUGCUGCCUUUCAAAAC